This is a non-coding RNA of Stygiomarasmius scandens, 80 nucleotides long. Lineage: Eukaryota; Fungi; Basidiomycota; Agaricomycetes; Agaricales; Campanellaceae. The record is from the annotation of a GenBank genome assembly.
GGUCCUGUAGUGUAGCGGUUAUCACAUGGGAUUCUGAUGAGAGCCUUCCCAUGACCCAGGUUCGAUUCCUGGCAGGACCU